AACAAUAACAACAAACAAACAGACAACAAAAGAAGACACAUAGAAGGAUAAAAGGCAAAAAGAGCCCUAAGGAGGACCGACUUCCUCCGACUUCGAACUUUCGGCUUCAAUCCUCAUCAGGGAACGCCUUAAGCUCUUGACUUCUUCUUCCAAUUCUUUCUCCCUCAUUAGCAUCUCCACAUACCUCCGAUGAAGCCACUGGCUUUCAUUCUCUGCCUCUCGGUGCUUCUUUCUUAGGACCUCGGAUUCCACCUCUGCAUCCUUGACUGCCUGCCGCUCGUAUACCAGCU
RNAcentral lists this long non-coding RNA (290 nucleotides) under Elaeis guineensis (African oil palm). RNAcentral describes it as "long non-coding RNA (EGUI_LNC080598)". The record is from RNAcentral. Lineage: Eukaryota; Viridiplantae; Streptophyta; Magnoliopsida; Arecales; Arecaceae.